AAGGGAAAGAUUUUAUUCCAAACAAAACACAAACUUACAAACAGACAAAGGCCCAACAACACCUAUACAUAGCCAAAAAGGGCCUAAACAGAAAGAAACAACAGAAACAGAAAAUAAGCCCAAAAUCAAAGAACAUCCGAGAAGCAUCACUGCCUUCUCCAUCGACAAUCCAAGGAACUGUUAGCCAUCCGAUUCCCCGACCACCGCUGAUCAUCUUCUUCACUGACGUCUUCUGCGCACAACCAUAAGUUAUAGGUAAUCGACAUCCAAGCGAGAGAGGCCAAUCACCAGUUGGAAGCUCAGAACAAGUCCCGAGCAACACUGCCCCAAGCAACAGACACAAAGGAGAACAUGGUGGUGUGGAACACACUCGAGCUGGUGCAAGCGCAGGAACUUUACACACGAUCUCGACAGAAGACCUAGCUGAAAAACAAAGCAAGGAAGAAUCAGGAAGAAGAGAACACACAAAGUAGGAGGAAUUAAAAAGGCCGAAUAGAAAAUUAGGGAGAACCAACAGUAGAUGCAGGAAGAAAAAAAGGAUAAAAGGAAAAAGAGGACACAUCACCCGACCCCAGCCGAAGCUAGGGUCGGUGCCACCGAAGAGCCUGGAAGAAGAUCUCACAUAUGUACUCUCACAGCAGAGAGAAAGAAACACUCACAAAGGAGAGAACUCAAUUUCUUUUAUUUAUAUUUGCUCUCCUUAUUUUAUUAUUUAUAUUUCUAUUGGAA
This 729-nucleotide long non-coding RNA is filed under the name Malus domestica (apple). Its description in RNAcentral is "long non-coding RNA (MDOM_LNC014187)". Lineage: Eukaryota; Viridiplantae; Streptophyta; Magnoliopsida; Rosales; Rosaceae. The record is from RNAcentral.